UACGGGGGGGGCGAGCGUUGUUCGGAAUUACUGGGCGUAAAGGGUUUGUAGGUGGUCUGCUAAGUCAGACGUGAAAUCCCUCAGCUUAACUGGGGAACUGCGUCUGAUACUGGCGGACUUGAGGACAGGAGAGGAACGCGGAAUUCCAGGUGUAGCGGUGAAAUGCGUAGAUAUCUGGAGGAACACCGAUGGCGAAGGCAGUUGCCUGGCCCAGAACUGACGCUGAGGUGCGAAAGCGUGGGGAGCGAACGGG
RNAcentral lists this ribosomal RNA (253 nucleotides) under uncultured bacterium. RNAcentral describes it as "partial 16S ribosomal RNA". It matches the Rfam family "Bacterial small subunit ribosomal RNA", at positions 524 to 776 of the family's 1533-position model. The record is from RNAcentral.